UUUAGCUGUGGUUACAAAGCGAACGCUGCUAUUGGUCGCAAGUGCAACGUUAGUCAGCGGGGUGGAGCUUUCCGCACCAUUAUAUAUUGAUCGUUUCUCAGCUUGGGCUGGUACUCAUCCUUUGUAGACGAACGGUCCAAUAUUACUAGUUUUGUUGGCCUACGUUACUGAUUUAUACAUGAUGGAGCUAAAAAUAACUUUAUUUCUUCUAAUGGCUGCAGUAGUUCACGGUCAAACACAAUAUGAAUGGCGUAUCGAGGAAUACGGCGAGUGCAGUGCGACAGAGUGUGGGUACGGAUGGCGGUUUCGCCAGGUAACGUGUGUGAUCGUUGGUACUACAGGAGUGCAGAGUGAAAUACAUUGUGACGGGCAACCGAAGCCUUCCAACUGGCAGCAGUGCUUCGCUGGUGUAUGUGGAUUAGUGUCAAGUGAAGCACCCUCAAACCCUGUUAUAUACGACUGGACAGUUGGAGAAUGGGGAACGGUAAAUUUAAGUCAAUUAUUAUCG
Anneissia japonica is the source of this 508-nucleotide long non-coding RNA. RefSeq lists it as uncharacterized. The record is from RefSeq and is a predicted model, not a curated record. Lineage: Eukaryota; Metazoa; Echinodermata; Crinoidea; Comatulida; Comatulidae. The transcript is spliced from 3 exons.